This is a long non-coding RNA of Drosophila albomicans, 4035 nucleotides long. RefSeq lists it as uncharacterized. The transcript is spliced from 3 exons. Lineage: Eukaryota; Metazoa; Arthropoda; Insecta; Diptera; Drosophilidae. The record is from RefSeq and is a predicted model, not a curated record.
AAUUGUUUUAGUUUAUGUUUUUUUUUUGUCACUGUAAAGCUGUUCGCACGCGACAUUUACCAGAGAAUUACCCAUAUAUAGUUUUACGACCACAAUAUUAAUUAAUGUUAUUUCCACUUGAAAGGGAUCGUGGCAAUUCUUAAUCAAUUGCAAAGCUGGUACAAAGUUAAGCGCUGUUCCCAGAUGGGCGAAAUCGUGUUUUUUCCACACAAUUCUAUUUAAAAAAAAUAGUCUGUCAAAUAUUUACAGUUUACAGCAGGGCGAGUUACAAUGUCUUCCGAUAUGCGUACUGCGGCACUCGGGAAAUCACUGUCUCCCGAUCGGUGAAGAUCUGCCACAAUUCUUUUGGGCCAAAAUGUCAUUUACGACAAUCGUCGGCCACAACUUGAGCUGACAGGACCCAUCUUCAAUUGCUCACGUCCGAUCCUUCUAAGAUUUCGCCAAUUUGGAGUGCUACAAAAUGGUGAAAUACACUAACAUCCGAAUGUAUCCAGCAUAUAACGUCUUUUAAGUCUGUCUAAAAUACUGACAUUUCUGACUCGAUACAUCUGGCCAACUCCAGCCCCAAAACAGCAGCCAUGAGUUCCAUUCAUUUUAAUAGCAACUCUUGUAUUCGACACCACUAGACUGAAAUAAACUUGAUCAUCUACUUUAGUUUAAACGAAUGGAUUGGUAGCGUAUCUGACAUCUACCUACACUAGCCGCAAAAUCGGGCUGUUCGUAGAUUGUUUUACGUUGGCAACAAUGACACCAGUCUACAUCGUAUUCUUUAAGAGGCUCAUCCCGUCCGAGUCAACUUUUCCAAACAUUUUUCAGAAAGAUUUUGGCGGGUAUGUUGAAAAGUCCUACAAGUGCAACAGGGUCGGAGAUAAUCAUAAUCAUGCUUUGGUUGGCCAACCAACCAAAGCCUUUGCGAUUGCUUUACCAUAAACGUUAGAUAAUCUUCUCUAGUUUGCCAUCAAAUGCCAUGAACCUUUUGCGAAGAAUCGUCAGGGUAACAAAUUGGCUUGUCCAAUAUCUCAUAUCUAUUUUGAAGAGUGUAGAUCACUGUUUAUCAAUUUGAUGUCCAGUGUCGGAUGUCAAAUCCACCAUUAGCAUGAAUUAAUGUCACCGCCUGCGCCAGUUUUCUCAUCCCAAAUAUUGAGUACACAGACUGAGACCAGUGAUCAACAAAAGUAUGCCCGCAAAUUGCUUGCUAUUAGACAAAAGUUUCAGACGUUAUUUCAAAAAUUCUUUUGUUUGGGAAAAAGCGCCUACUUCCUACGUGUCUUAGUUGCAUUGGCUGCAUAGCUGGUGUAUUGUGCACUCUAUUGUAUAUUUUGAACGCAGAACUAUAAAAUUAUACCAAAUGCACUGUUUUGGUUUAACUCGAAAUGGAUAGCGGAUAUUUCUCGGUCGAGCACAGUCGACUUUAGCUUUCUCACUUGUUUUUAUUGCAUUCGUGUUCUGUGCAUACCUUUAAAUCAAUUGCCUCUACUUAGGCUAACAUACAAAUCAAAAGCAAAUCACGUGCCAAAAUUUCCAGCAUUACUACGAUGACCGGCAUUUGCUUGCCAUAAUGGUGAAAUUCCCUUGCAUAAAAAGGAAUCGCCGAUUACAAAUUACCAGUGGGAAAUGCGCUCCUAAAAAUUGUCACUUUAAAAUUUGUGUAACUUGCGAAAUAUAUAGCUUUUUCGUAAGUCAUUUAUGUAUAUCAUUUGGGAACAGCGCAGAACUCAGGUCAAAUGAACUGAAAAAUUAUCUAAAUAAAAAUAUAAUAAUGAAUAUUAGUUGUAGUACAUCAAAUAUAUGUAAAACGAAUAUUCAAAUUGAAUAUAAACUUUCUAGAAGUGUUUAAAGUAAGGCCAAAAUCCAGAGUUUUUAUUUAACACUAGAGUGCUGCGCUUUGGGUCAGCUCUGGCCUGACUGGUUCCCGUGAACCUGCGAAAUUAAGUUGUUUUAGUAUCUUGACAAAAGGUCAAUUGUCUUAAGGAUUUCGACCAAAAUUGCUACAUGUCUUGCUUAUACAUACAUAUGUAUAUGUAUGAAUCAUCGAACACAUCAUAAGCGUCAUAGCCAUUAAUCGACAACAUUAUUUUUUGGGCUUAUUAUAUCCGCCCCCAAUAGUAAUGUAAUGUAAUGUAUGUAACAGGCGGAAGGAGUCAUCGCCGCCUGUCUGUCUGUACGUAUGAAACACUGGCUCUCAGAGACAAUAAAAUAUAGGCUGUAAUUCUUUGUCGACAGAACUUGUUAUGUUUGUACGCAGAUCCUGUUUUUUUCACGCGAAAUAAGCCGAAGAGGGUCUGGUGUUCAGUGUUGCCAACGCUUGGUGGUCACACCAGACUCUGGUGACCAGAGAAGUAAAAAAAAUGAAGGCAUCAAUUGUACAGUAUUUCUUCAUAAAGCAAAUUGCUUAAAAUUUGACCAACCUCCUCGGAAGUUAAGUACUUUCCCAUUGUAAGUACCAAUCUGUGUAAGAUACUUUGGACGUCACACUAAAACAGCAUUUUUCAGCUCAAUGCAAGUUGGUCUAGCAGUUUUAAUCCAGUGCUUAAAUUAAGGAUCUUUCAACCAAGCAUCGCAAAUUUGUUGUUUAUACAUUUGAGUCAUUUUUCGGCAUUCGAUCACCGUACAAACAAACGCACCACAAAAAUCAGUUAAUUUGAAUGUUGAGAAAAUACCGAAACACUGCAAAGGGUAAAUAGUAUUUUAGUAUUUAAAAUACGCAAUUCGGUCACGCUGAGCGGUAGACGUGGUGUAUUUGAAUCGAUACAUCAUCAUGUCUAUUGCCAAUAUACGAUUUUCGAAAAUUGUUAAAGCAUCGGAUCGGCUUGUGUCACAAUAAUACUGUUGCGAAUGAUACGUUUUUGCUUAAGACUUAAAGCAUCUAAAUUAUAUGGUUAUUAUUUUUUCGUGCAACUCCAUAUAAAACAAACAAGAAAGUUAUAAUCGAGAAUGCUCGAAUAAAAGCAAAACAGUCCAGUAUUAUUCUUAAAAUAUACCGAAUUAAUAUACCUCAAAUUAUACCGAAAUCUAUAUUUGCUAUAUUAAUAUAGUACUACAUUGAAAAUAUAAAUAGAAUAAAAAAUUUAGCAGGCUGUUAGCCAAAGCUACUAAGGCCCUUGUUAGUGCUGUCGAAAUAAAAUUAUCAGCGGGGCUCUGGUUUUCACAUUCACAUUUCGUUUUGAAUACAAAAAUUAAAAAAUUGGUUCUCCCUUUUCAGUUUCGAAAGAUUCUUUCGAUUUACAAAACGAUUGACUUAUUGAUUUAUUGCCGCUCUUUUAAGACAGUCAUUUGCCGUCGGCAACAACAAUUUUCGUUUUGGUGAGCGACAGAUAAAUCCGACACCUUGAGCAAGUUAAAAAUACUUGUAUAAUGGAAAGGAUGGCAAUUUGUUGAAGUUGGAUAAAAUAUGUUUUUUAAAAAUGUACUUAUUUAAUAUAAUUACUUAAGUGCUAAAAUUGCAUAAAAAAAAGUUGUUGAAAUCACCGGAAUGAAAUCGAUCAAAAAGGUGGCAUCCGCUUUUUUGUGGGAAACAGCUGAUUGCCGUUCCACUGUUUUUUUAUAUAAGUUUUAAAUCCUUAUUUGCAAAUAAGACAAAGAGCAUAUAUAUUUAUUUCGGGGAAAUGCAUAAAUCACCUAUGCAGGAUACAAAAUAUAUUUAUGUGAGUUCUAUCCACGCAGGAAAUUCGACAUACGGAAUGAAUUUUUUGUGUUGUUUCUAACCAAAACACAAGUCAGCUAUUUCAGCAGCAGGAAAUGAAAUGUUCCGUGCAAACGGUGCACCUAAAAACGAAAAUCUCGUUUUUGAUCCCAAAACGAAAAGUGAUUACCAGAGCACGCCUGUGUAUCUCUAUCUCUCAUUGUCUCUGAAGUCUAUGUGCUCAUACAGACGGAUGGACUGAUAGACCUACAGACAGGCGGACAAACGGACAUGGCUAGAUUGUCUCGUUGACGCUGAUCAAGAAUAUAUAUACUUCAUUGGGUUGGAAAUGCCUCCAUCUGCCUGGGGUCGAACUAAAUAGGAGCACCGCUAAAUUGAGUGUGGUAUGCCAU